AAUGUACUGUUGAACCCCAAAGAGUGAAAAUCAUUUUCUCUUUGCAGGGCAGUCGGGCACCCCUGGACUCCUACAUUAUAGGUGACAGACACUGCUGGGCUGCAAAACUGGAACUCAGCAAGGACAGGGUGACCAUGGAGUCCGUGAAGCCCCUCCCACCUGCUCCUUCUCAGAGUGUCAGGCUCUGGGCAGGGUUCACCUGCUACCAGAUAUCUGAAGGCAGAGAUUCCAGGCUUGUGUUGUCCUGGGCACCCCAUGACUGAAGACCCCAGACCUUUCCAUGUUGAAGAGGGCUCAGUCUGGGAAGAAAAACAGCAUCCGGUGUUAAAAACAUGAACCUUAGUUGUGGUGGUUUGAGUAGGAAUUCAUAGACUCAUAUAUUUGAAUUCUUGGUCACCAGAGAGUGACAUUAUUAGGAGGCAUGGCUUUGUUGGAGUAGAUGUGGACCUGGUAGAGGAAGUGUGCCACUGUGGGUAGGCACAGAGGUUUAAAAUGUUCAAGCUAGGCUCUAAGCUCUCUCCCUGCUGCUUGUCGUUCCAGAUGUAGAACUCUCAGCUCCCUCUUUAGCGCCAUGUCUGUCUGCAUACUAACAUAUUUUCCACUCUGCUGAUGAUGGACUGAACCACUGAACUGUAAGCUAGCUCCAAUGAAAUGUUGUUCUUUAUUCAA
RNAcentral lists this long non-coding RNA (669 nucleotides) under Mus pahari (shrew mouse). RNAcentral describes it as "lncRNA (MGP_PahariEiJ_G0006253.1)". The record is from RNAcentral. Lineage: Eukaryota; Metazoa; Chordata; Mammalia; Rodentia; Muridae.